This 30-nucleotide non-coding RNA is filed under the name Homo sapiens (human). Lineage: Eukaryota; Metazoa; Chordata; Mammalia; Primates; Hominidae. The record is from RNAcentral.
AUCNCAUAGCACUAGAGGGGAGCGCCGCGC